UUUUUUUUUGUCAGACCACCAGUUGACAAGUAAAACAUCAAACAAAACCAGAAAUUUUUCUUAUCUGUCCAUUGUCUAGAAUGUACUGAUCUUUGUUGCGACAAUACAUCUCUAGCAGAGCAAUUACCAAUAUUAAAUUAUUAUUCAACCCCUUAUCCUUCCCAUGCUUGGACUGACUGAAAUAAUAUUGCACUCUUAAAAAUAGCUUCUAUAUUAGAUUACAUUGAAAGCAUCCAGUAGAGUGUCCUCUGAUUAUGUUAUAAAUUCUGAGAUCAUUUUAUGUAUAAGCAAUGAUGUUAUUCAUAGGCGUAGCAUACAGAGUAAAAGAAAAGCAUGUUAGUGAAGUAGAAACGAGUAAAGGUAUUGGAGUAGCUUUAUAGACUGAUAAUGUCUUCAUAGCACAAUCCAUUUAAAGUGUUGUAGUCAAUGCUCCCAUUGCAUCAGUCAAAUGUGUAUGAUAACUAUUAUUCUAUGCAGCUAACUAAAUAUAUUACAAUUUUAUUGUCUAGCAAGGAAUCUAUGGUUUACGUCUAGUACCUAUAAAUCCAAAACCAGGGCUAAAUUCUGUGAAAAUGAAAUUGCAUGAGAUUCACCCAGCUAAUAUUGAAAGAACUGUGUUCAAGGAACUUUAUCUGUGCAGCAUGCUGAGAAGUCUUGAAUGCCAUUGUUAUCACUGCAGAUAAACAUGAUCAGUACUGACUACAGUACUGACUUGGUAAUUAACAUCAAUGAAACAACAUGACAUUCUCAAAGAGGAAUAAGCCAUGAUAACUUUAUAUAAAUACACUGAAAUAUUUUUGGAAUGUUGAUUUCUUAAGAAAACUGGAAAACAGUCUGAAAAUGAACAGCUGGAUUUUUUUUUUUUUAAUUUUUAUAUUUAGCACUGAGUUACAAGUAGUAACCAUAAUUCCCUUACUCUAUGCCCUCUUCUUAAGGACAUGUGCUGCAAGUGCAUAUGCUUGUCAGAAGUGCUCAGGAGCAAAAUUGUCUGGCCUCUGGUUAGCAGAAUGGUUUCUCUUGCAGCUUUUAGGCAGUUAUAAAUUAUGACACCAGAUAAGUGUCCAUGGACAGCUCAGUUGGUGGCUUAUGGUUACAUCUCCCUUCUCUCCAUUGCACUGAAUAUGAUAUUAAAAUAGUUUAAAUCCUUAUCAUUUUCUGUCCUGUUUCCCCUAGUGAUAACAGAUACAUUCCUUAAUUCUAGAAUAGGGCCUGGGUAUUUUUUUCCUGUGCUUGUCUUGUAUCUGUGAUAACAAAAUUCUUUCCGAUAACUAUAUUUUCUGGGUGUUAAUACUUCUGUUAACUUCUGUCAUAGCCUCAUCCAGUGUUUUACGGCAUGUAAAGCAUGAAAGCUACAGGGCUAUAACGUGUGUGUCACAUGAGACUUGAAGGCUUUCUGUGAUCUUUCUGAAAGUGCUGCAUGUUUCAAUAACAAUGUGUUGCUGCUUAGCUUUCCAAAGACAUCUGGCAGGAGCAGAGACAACACUAAUUAAAUGAACAAAACAAAACAAAAACAAACAACAACAACAACAACAAAACACCUCUGUGCAAUAUGUAGAUAUGUAUAGUGUGUAAUUGACUCCCUGUCCCUCUCAAGCUAGGAUGAGUUCCCCUCCUCUUCUGUCUUAAUUAAACGUCUCAGAUCUACUGUACUCACAACGUGGGCAACAGUAUCAGCUUGCCUAUACUUCUGCUUGCCCUUGCCUUUCUUCACGAGUCCACAGCAGAGCUACCUCCUAUCCAAUUCCUCUCUUUUAAAUCAGCUGACAGUCACAGCUGAAGAGGUAAGAGGUAAUGAUCUUUGGACAGCUAAGAAAAAACAUGACCUAUCAGAAGAUAAGUACAUUCUAGAAAUGAAGCGUGUAAUAGAGAAAAACUGCAGAUCACGCUGCUCAGAAUCAAGAGUGCUGUGCUCCUGGGCAGAGCAGAAUAAGGUUGCUAUUCUUAUAAAGAUGAUUAAUGUGGACUUAGAAAAGGAGGAUCAUGCCUCACAAAUCUGAUAUCCCCUCCUUAGGAGAGAAAAAGUCAAGUAAGCCACAGCAGAGAAGCUAUUGACAUAAUUAACCAAGACCAGGGGAAAGCUUUCAUACAGCAAUAUACUAAGGACUUAACCCCAAAACCAAGAUGUAAGGUAGAUAGACAGCUUAAGUGGAUAAGGAGGUAGUUGCAGGUCCAAAGACAGAACAGUGCAAGGCAGGACCGCAAAGCCUAGAAAUGGAUUAGUGUGGGAUUGGACGUAAAGGAGAACAGUGAGAGACAGCUGCGGGAAGAUAACUUUGAUUGUUAUGUUUGGUCACAGACAACAGCCUCAAGGUGGCCAAGACAAGUACGCUGCUUCCCAGUUCAUUUGGACUCACUUGUAUCUCAUGACAAAGCAACUUUUAUAAACACUGUGAAAAAAAUACAUGCUUUGAACAUUAGAAAUAUUUAAAAGCAGAGGAACCAUAAUAAUCGACUUGAUUAUAUAUGUUAUGGAUGCUGAAAAUCAUCUAUCUUUCAGGACCUUGAAUAAUUUCUUUCUCUUAGUGUCCCUAGGGCAAUCCUGACUGCUGAGAAGCAAUGCAGUGCCAGUGUUACGUGUAAGAACCUGAGGCACACGGAAGGUAUGCCUCAGUUGUCUCGUGCCUCUAGCUCACUCCAAACAACCUCAAACUGUCACCGGAGGCACUUCUUUAAAGCCCGCCGUUUUCCUAAAGCUGUGGUGUUGGACAUGAUUCUUGACUACUCCAGAGGGCCACCUUUCUGUGCUCACUGUUUUCCAGGCCAAGAUCAUGAAGAGUUUCUCCUACCAUGGUUAAAAUGAUCUGUGUUAGAAAAAAAAUAACCAUUACAAAUACGUAUGAUAACAUUUAGUUGUAAACAGGCAACAACAGGCUGUUACACAAACAAAUCUCAGGAGGGCAUAAUCCCCAAAGGGUAACAAGCAGUUCGAGGUGGUAUUUUGGCUGCAAACAGUAUGCCUGAUUUCAGCGCUAGUAAACUACAAAGUACACCCUGGCAGUACGUUCGCAAGGCCCCUGGAUGGCCAGGAGGCAGCUGGAUAGGAGGGCUCACUGUAUUAAUAAGCACUCUAAAUGCCUGUUAUCAAAAUCUUAAGAGAUAAAUAACUUUCUUACAGAGGGUGUUGUGGCAAAGGAUGUGGCUGCAAUUAGAAUUCUUGAUCAAAGAUUCUUCUUCUCUUUCUAAUCCCAUUCCCAUUUGAUUGCUUUGAUUUUCUUUGUAAUAUUUCUCAAUAACUACUUGGACUUUGCAACACUGAUCCUUCAGUGGAUACAACCAUAUGAAUAGGUCUGAUGAAAUCAGUGAAAUUAUUUACAGCCUUAUUCAGCAAAUACUGAAUGGCAUAUCCAAUUACCUCUGUGCAAAUCUAAAGUAGGUAGUGAACUAUUUUUGUAAAUUGGCAGUUAUCUCCAUGAAACUAAGUACAUACAUAUUUCUUUACAAGAUAGGGAUUUGAAGCAAGUUUACAGACAGUCAGAUACAGAAAUACUGAGAUAUGAAUGACACCAUCAUGGCAAAAUCUGUAUUACCUGAAGAUAAUUUUGAUGCAUUGUAACUCUAAAGAUGAUUGGUUGCAGCUGUUGAUGCAAGGGUCUGAAAUGUCAUCUACAUGGUAUGUGUAAAUUACAGUGGACACGUAUGAUCUUGUUUAAACAGUACUGCAGAUAAUAUCAGUUUAUAUAUGAAGUACAAAUGAUACAGCACAUUGCCUGACUUCCAUGUGUACCUCUGGAGUCUAAUAAAACCUCCAGGUAUGGUGGAAGGUUAACA
RNAcentral lists this long non-coding RNA (3768 nucleotides) under Anser cygnoides (Swan goose). Its description in RNAcentral is "lncRNA (ENSACDG00005006124.1)". Lineage: Eukaryota; Metazoa; Chordata; Aves; Anseriformes; Anatidae. The record is from RNAcentral.